RNAcentral lists this ribosomal RNA (604 nucleotides) under Pantoea sp. RNAcentral's name for it is "bacterial SSU rRNA". It matches the Rfam family "Bacterial small subunit ribosomal RNA", at positions 585 to 1178 of the family's 1533-position model. Lineage: Bacteria; Pseudomonadati; Pseudomonadota; Gammaproteobacteria; Enterobacterales; Erwiniaceae. The record is from RNAcentral.
AAGUCGGGAUGUGAAAUCCCCGGGGCUUAACCUGGGGAACUGCAUUCGAAACUGGCAGGCUAGAGUCUUGUAGAGGGGGGUAGAAUUCCAGGUGUAGCGGUGAAAUGCGUAGAGAUCUGGAGGAAUACCGGUGGCGAAGGCGGCCCCCUGGACAAAGACUGACGCUCAGGUGCGAAAGCGUGGGGAGCAAACAGGAUUAGAUACCCUGGUAGUCCACGCCGUAAACGAUGUCGACUUGGAGGUUGUUCCCUUGAGGAGUGGCUUCCGGAGCUAACGCGUUAAGUCGACCGCCUGGGGAGUACGGCCGCAAGGUUAAAACUCAAAUGAAAUUGACGGGGGCCCGCACAAGCGGUGGAGCAUGUGGUUUAAUUCGAUGCAACGCGAAGAAACCUUACCUACUCUUGACAUCCAGAGAACUUAGCAGAGAUGCUUAUGGUGCCUUCGGGAACUCUGAGACAGGUGCUGCAUGGCUGUCGUCAGCUCGUGAUGUGAAAAUGUUGGGUUAAGUCCCGCGACGAGCGCAACCACAUUAUCCUUUGUAGGCCAGCGAGUCGCCCGGGAACUCGAAGGGAACUGGCAGGUGGUAAACUGGAAGAAAGUGGGG